GAUUAGCCUAGUGAGCCGCGGCGCCGGCCCAUGGGCAGUGUUCUUGUUACCAGAGACAGCGUGAAACAGCCGGGGCCGGAGCCUUCCACCCUCCCCCUCCUGGGCAUUGCUGCCAGCUGUUCUGUGACGCUGGCCAAGUGACUUCUGCUUUCUUCACUGUCAUUGUCAAAUGCGAAAGCAUGUGGCCGGCACGUGGCUGUGACUACUGUAUUAAAGUGGCAUUAAUCUGAAAACUCACUCUCCUAACAAUCCGAUCCCAGGACAGAUGAUGCCUCAAGUGAUAGGGCACAGGAGCCUUUAAGCCCCUCCUGUCUACCAGGGCUUAGCGGACUGGGCAAAGACGGUGAGGUCACGGAGGGGAUGAACGAGACCACGCAGUUCUUCCUCCACAGGCGCGGGUUUCCUCCCACGGCUUCGCAUCCACAGGCCGGCCGGCCCCGACCCCCGCGCCAGCCGCACGCGCCCUGCCCGCCACGGCUCCCCGCGCAGGCGCAGAGCUGGACCAGGAAGCGAGUCCAAGUCUCGCGCGCUUCAACGCUCACUGCCCACCCGUGCAGGACCGGAUGGAGAAUUCCCAGCCGGUCAAGGAACGCAGCCGUUCCAAGGCUGCCGCCAGAGGGCGCGGGCGUCGCCAUGUUGGCUCGGAACUCCGUCGGCAACGUCAGCAGGCCGGCUCCGGAAACGAAGGGGCGUGCUGGGAUCAUGCUUCCCUGCCGCACGGAGUUAGGCGUGGCGGCCUUUGUCUAAUAAAACAUGAGUGGAGGUGACGUGCCUCCAUCUGGGUGGAGGCCCUGAAGAGCCAGAACAUGACUUUCUGUGCUCACACUCCCGUGACACGGUAGCACAUGUCUGCCAGGUGCUGAAGACUGGCUCCUGCGGCCCAGGUUCCCGAGUGAGGACGACAGGGAGCAAGGCAAAGCAUCAAGAACCCCGGAAUCUGUGGUGGCUGCUCAGACCUACACGCAAGGGCGUGCCAUCUGCACAGCGCUGUUGCCAUGCCACCAGCGUCUGUAGGCACUGAUGGGAUCCCUGGGAACGGUGCUGCCGCGGUAGGAAAAACCCAGCCUGGAUCAGCGCAUGGAGGAGAGCGUCCUGCUUCUGCUUCGUCUGAGCUACACUUCCUUUAGGAGGCCUGCUUGUUACGUAGCAGUCGGCAUUCCCUUGCUUAACUCGGUGCUGCAGUGUCACGUCUGCUCAUUGCUGCUUGCUAGACAAGUCUUCCGGGGAAAAUGGGAGUUCUUCAGGUAGAAAGGUGAGGACAAGGUGCAAGAGCAAUGAAUGCAUCCGUAGUUCAAUAAAUACUCACUGAGUCCCCAGGGUGGUCCAGGUCCUGUCCAGGCGCUAGCACUGUAACAGCAAAUCAGACAAGGUGCUUGCUGUCACGGAGCUGAAACUCCACAGGGAAGUGCGAGAUGUGUAAACCCAGAAACACACAGGAUCACUUCUGAGAGGGGGGUAGGGAGAAACGUCACUGCGACAGGCCGUGAGCUAACGAGGAACAGGGUGUGGGGAAGGUGGGCAGGGCUGGUGGUGGGUGCCCGGAAGUGCAUGGAUGGCUAGACAGGGAGGAGGAUCUACCAUUCUCUACGGCACCGCAGGCUGAUUACUGUGUAUUUCAUAAAGAACUGGAAGCGACCAAUUUGAUGUUUCCCACCACAAAGAUAUAAUAAAUGGUUGAAGAGUUGGAAAUGCUCUCCGCCCUGACUUGAUCGUGACACGCUGUGUUCAUGUGUUGGGUUAUCACACAGCACUCCGUAAAUAUGCACAGUUAGCAAGUGUUAGUGGAAAAUUAAAAAAUUAUUUUUUUAGAGUAACUGGAAAAUGGCAUUUGACAGGAGUAUCCAGGAGGGCUUCCCUGCCCUGUGGAUCGAGCUGAAACUGAGAUGGGGGAGGAGAAUCCAGCCAGGUGGCAUGCUUUGCCGAGGGUGGCAAGGAGAAGGGACUGUUCUGGACAGAGGAGCUAGAAGGGUGGAGGUCCCCAGGGAGGGAGCAGGAAGAGGGCCAGCGUGGUGGGAGGCGUGACGUGGGGGAGGGAGACCAGAAGGCAGGGCCAUUCCCCAUCCCACAUCCCUCAUCACACGUACCACUCUGAUACAACAUAGAUUUCCCUUAUUUACAUGCUUUAUUUUCUGUCUCUGCCUCAGGUUCCACAAGGCUGCUGCCAUUCUUUACUCACUUGGAAGGCCCGAAGAAGCCAGGAGCCACGAGCUGCUUCUGGGUCUCCCAUGUGGAUGCAGGGGCCCAAGGACUUGGACCUCCUUCUACUGCUUUCCCAGGCCAUGGCAGAGAGCUGGAUCGGAAGUGGAGCAGUCAGGACUCAAACCCGUGCCCAUAUGGGAUGCCAGCACUGCAGGUGGCAGCUUCACCAGCUAUGCCACAGUGCCGGCCUCUUUCCAUUUUUUAUUUAGCUUCCUGCUAAUACUCCCACCUCACGUGUUUCCACUCACUUCCUUGUUCAUUCGCCUCCAACCACAUUGGCCUCUUGGUUGUCCUUAAACAGGACACGUUGUUUCUGCAUAGUUUUGCCCUUCCUCUUCAUUCCACCUGUAACAUUUCUUGUUCAGGUGUUCUCAACAAGUUGGCUCCCUGUGUCACUAGGUCUCUGUUCAAAAGACCACCUGUGUCAAAUAUCACCUCUCUCCUAACCUUCCAUCACUGUUCAGAACACCGUUUUAUCAUCUGCAUUCCAAUGAUCACUUAUGGACUUGUUUUCAAAUUUGAAUAUUUUAUAGUUAAUAGUCUCCUGGUUAAAAGUUAAAGAUAGUAUAAAAAAUAGGCAGGGCCUGACAUCUUGGUGUAACAGGUUGAGCUACUGCUUGCAAUGCUGACAUCCCAUUUCAGAGUAGGUAUGUGAGUCCUAUCUACUCUGCUUCUGAUCCAGCUUCCGGCUACUAUGCCUGGGAAGAAGCAGAAAAUAGCUCAAAUACUUGGAUCCCUGCCACCCAUGUGCUCCCACGUGGUGUUCCUGGCUCCUGGCUACUGCCUGGCCCAGACUUGGUUUUUGCUGUCAUUUAGGGAGUGAACCAGCAGAUGGAAGAUUUCCCUCCGCCUCGUAUCACUCCACCUUUCAAACAGAUGAGCAUAAAUAAGUAAGCAUUAAAAACAAAGAGUGAUGGGGCUGGCACUAUGGUGUAGCGGGUAAAGCCGCCACCUAAGUGCCAGCAGCCCAUACGGGUGCCGGUUCGAGUCCUGGCUGCUCACCUCUGAUCCAGCUCUGCUAUGGCCUGGGAAAGCAGUAGAAGGUAGCCCAAGUCCUUGGGCCCCUGCACUUGUGUGGAGGACCAUUGCGGCCAUUUGGGGAGUGAACCAACAGAUGGAAGACCUCUCUCUCUCUCUCUGUGCCUCUGCCUUUCUGUAACUGUGCCUUCCAAAUAAAUAAAUCUUAAAACAACAACAACAACAACAAAGAGUGAGAGAGCUGACGCUGUGGCACAGUGGACUAGACCUCCGUCUGUGGCACCAGAAUCCCAUAUGGGCACGGUUCAUGUCCAGCGGCUCCUCUUCUGAUCCAGCUCUCUGAUAUGGCCUGUGUAAGCAAUAGCAAAUGGCCCAAGUGCUUGGGCCCCUGCACCCGUGCAGGAGACCUGGAAGCAGCUCCUGGCUCUUCACUUCAGAUCGGUGCAGUUCCAGCCAUUCCUGCUAUCUGGGGAGUGAACCAAUGGAUGCAGGACCUUUCUGUCUGUCUCUCCUUCUGUCUGUAACUGCCUCUCAAGUAAGUAAGUAAAACCUUAAAAAAUAAAAACAAAGAGGGAAAAUAGGAAAUCAAUAAAUAAAUUGUUGCAAUAAAUCCUGAUCAGAUCAAGUUGUGUUGGUGAAGUUAUUAAGAAGUGAUUAUGUUCUAGAUGUGUUUUGAAGGCUGUGGAUGAAGGAUACGAGAGAGGAGAGCUGAAUUAAUUUCCUAGGACUUCUGUAACAAUUUGUCAUAAAUUUGGUGGCUUUAAGCCGGCGCCGUGGCUCAAUAGGCUAAUCCUCCACCUUGCGGCGCCGGCACACCGGGUUCUAGUCCCGGUUGAGGCGCCGGAUUCUGUCCCGGUUGCCCCUCUUCCAGGCCAGCUCUCUGCUAUGGCCAGGGAGUGCAGUGGAGGAUGGCCCAGGUGCUUGGGCCCUGCACCCCAUGGGAGACCAGGAAAAAGCACCUGGCUCCUGGCUCCUGCCAGGAUCAGCGCGGUGCGCCGGCUGCAGCGGCGGCCAUUGGAGGGUGAACCAACGGCAAAAGGAAGACCUUUCUCUCUGUCUCUCUCUCUCACUGUCCACUCUGC
Oryctolagus cuniculus (rabbit) is the source of this 4259-nucleotide non-coding RNA. Lineage: Eukaryota; Metazoa; Chordata; Mammalia; Lagomorpha; Leporidae. The record is from RefSeq and is a predicted model, not a curated record.